AUAAAUGAUUGAUUUAUACCAUUUUACUUCAUUUUAUAUUUUAUUACAACAUAACAAACAUGUCUUUGAGAAGAGUUAUUCUAUUGUUACUUAUAAAAGUCGUUUGUCUUGCAACAAGUAACAGUACAGCAUCAAGUAAUGACAAUAUAUUUAACAAUUUAAUGGCACUCUCCACGAAAGGUUUCGCAAAAGCUUACCUGUUAUAGCAAAUGGGAUUUCUAAGAAACACAAUGUAUAUAUUGUAUAUAACACGAUGGUAAAUGAUAUUAUCCACUGUUUUAAAUAAAAUAAUAAACAUAUCAA
Long non-coding RNA from Vanessa tameamea, 303 nucleotides. RefSeq lists it as uncharacterized. The transcript is spliced from 2 exons. Lineage: Eukaryota; Metazoa; Arthropoda; Insecta; Lepidoptera; Nymphalidae. The record is from RefSeq and is a predicted model, not a curated record.